UAUGUUAUGCACUCACAGUUUCACCUUGCAAAAGGAAAAAUCACCUGUAAUAUAUAUUACAUGAAAGUUUAAUAGUAAGUUAGCUAGCUAAACAAUACUAGGACUUAGUACGGGUUCGGAUCAUUAUCUAAGUGAGUCCAUUAGUCUAACUGAUACCGUUAAAAUCACAUGAAAACAAUUUCCAUUGACGGGCUAAGCUAAACUACAAAAUACAAUAACGGAGCUUCGGUACACCAACAGCUUGUGUAUUGAGGCGAUCUUCGAUCAUGAGAAUACUAAGAUGGCAUGGCCUUAAAACUAAUGGCAAACCGAUAAUAUAAGAAUCUCAUGAUGCCGAAUUAUUUUACUAUCAGUAAUUAGCCUCUGCUUUCAAUUGAGAUCUCAACUUCAGAUCUUUCAGUGAUGAACUCUUAGCAAAAAUUCAAUUACUUCCUAAAAUAAAAAAGUAUCAUAAAUGCAGAGACCAAAAAACUUGUAUGACGUGAGUUUCGGAUUACAGAUGUAGCAUACAUCAUACAUGUGACAAUGGACCACCAAUACAUUUGUAUCCACAUUUGCAAUGUGUCCAUGUGCCACCUUACAUUUUUUGUGCCCAGUACAGAAGGUCGGAAUCCAAGCGACACCAAAAAAAUAAGUCCAUAGCAUCAAAAGCCUAAAUAAAAGAAAUGGUGUUGGGGGCAAAGCUGCUACCGGAACUCCCAAGAUAUCUGCUACUAACCAAAGCACUCGCAGAAAUGUGAGGCGACAAUCAACACCAAUGAUAGGUACCUGCAAAAAAAUUUGGUGGUACACAAAGAAUACUCAAUGAGGUGAAUCUGAAGCAAUGAAAAAGAAAAACUAAAAAUCCAAGAAGGGAGGAAGAUCAUGAUGUCGUCGGGGAUGGAGGAAGAUCGAGAUCGAAGAGGCACAGAUCGGAUGAAGACGAGAUUGGGGAAUCGGAGGCCGGCAGCACAUGGGUAGCAAGCAGGGGCGGGUCGAGCGGUGGCGGGGCGUGGUGGGAGGAGCCUCACUUAGGCCUUAUUUGGUUUCUCAAAAUCUAAAGGGGUUUGGAAGGGAUUGAGAUGGAUUAAAUCCCCUACAAGUCAAAAUUCACCUUAAUCCACUCCAAUCCACUUCAAUCCCCUUGUGGGAGUGAUUAACCAAACAAGCUCUUACCGGGCUCGACGGGGAGCAUGUUCCCUAGAGUGGACGGAGUUCGGGGGUCGGGGUGGCGAGGGGUCCAGCGGUGGUGGGGCGACGAGGGGGCGGCAAGGAGGCCGGAGGUUGCAGAAGGGUGGCGAGGCGAGGGUGUCGGAGGGAGGCCGGGGUGGUGGGGCGCAGGGAGGGGGGAGCCGCGGGCCGGAAGGGGCCACACGGGAUGGUGCUGCGGGCAGCGCGGGGUGGGG
This 1385-nucleotide long non-coding RNA is filed under the name Hordeum vulgare. RNAcentral describes it as "long non-coding RNA (HVUL_LNC001215)". The record is from RNAcentral. Lineage: Eukaryota; Viridiplantae; Streptophyta; Magnoliopsida; Poales; Poaceae.